GUGAAUCAUCAAAUUUUUGAACGCAAAUUGCACUCUCUGGCAUUCCGGAGAGUAUGCCUGUUUGAGGGUCAGUAUAAUCAAAAUCGGAGCGAUGCUUUUUGGGUGACGCACCGGAGUUUGGGUCAUCUUAACUCUUUUUUUUAGAGAACUAAAAUUAACAUUUUUUUUUGCCUACCUUUGAGGAGGAAAUUA
Molecule: unclassified non-coding RNA, 192 nt
Filed under: Rhizophagus clarus
Lineage: Eukaryota; Fungi; Glomeromycota; Glomeromycetes; Glomerales; Glomeraceae
Description: partial contains 5.8S ribosomal RNA and internal transcribed spacer 2
Rfam family: 5.8S ribosomal RNA (bases 1-71)
Source: RNAcentral